AACGAACGCUGGCGGCGUGGAUUAGGCAUGCAAGUCGAACGUGAAAGGGGCUUCGGCCCUGAGUAAAGUGGCAAACGGGUGAGUAACGCGUGGAGAACCUGCCCGGAAGCGGGGGAUAACACUUCUAACGAGGUGCUAAUACCGCAUGUGUCUGCGUGAGCGCAUGCUCGCGCAGGUAAACGUGGCCUCUGCUCGCAAGCUACGGCUUCCGGAUGGCUCUGCGUCUCAUUAGCUAGUUGGUGGGGUAACGGCUCACCAAGGCGACGAUGGGUAGCUGGUCUGAGAGGAUGGUCAGCCACACUGGGACUGAGAUACGGCCCAGACUCCUACGGGAGGCAGCAGUCGAGAGGCUUCCGCAA
This 359-nucleotide ribosomal RNA is filed under the name uncultured bacterium. RNAcentral describes it as "bacterial SSU rRNA". It matches the Rfam family "Bacterial small subunit ribosomal RNA", at positions 29 to 371 of the family's 1533-position model. The record is from RNAcentral.